This 468-nucleotide ribosomal RNA is filed under the name uncultured bacterium. Its description in RNAcentral is "partial 16S ribosomal RNA". It matches the Rfam family "Bacterial small subunit ribosomal RNA", at positions 28 to 507 of the family's 1533-position model. The record is from RNAcentral.
GACGAACGCUGGCGGCGUGCUUAACACAUGCAAGUCGAACGGAAAGGCCCUGCUUUUGUGGGGUGCUCGAGUGGCGAACGGGUGAGUAACACGUGAGUAACCUGCCCUUGACUUUGGGAUAACUUCAGGGAACUGGGGCUAAUACCGGAUAGGAGCUCCUGCUGCAUGGUGGGGGUUGGAAAGUUUCGGCGGUUGGGGAUGGACUCGCGGCUUAUCAGCUUGUUGGUGGGGUAGUGGCUUACCAAGGCUUUGACGGGUAGCCGGCCUGAGAGGGUGACCGGGCACCUUGCGCCUGAGAUACGGCCCAGACUCCUACGUGAGGCAGCAGGGGGGAACAUUGCAGAAUGGGCGGAAGCCUGAUGUAGCAACGCCGCGUGCGGGAUGACGGCCUUCGGGUGGUAAACCGCUGUCGCCUGUGACGAAGCGUGGGUGACGGUAAUGGGUAAAGAAGCACCGGCUAACUACGUG